This 1372-nucleotide ribosomal RNA is filed under the name uncultured bacterium. RNAcentral's name for it is "bacterial SSU rRNA". It matches the Rfam family "Bacterial small subunit ribosomal RNA", at positions 28 to 1381 of the family's 1533-position model. The record is from RNAcentral.
GAUGAACGCUGGCGGCGUGCCUAAUACAUGCAAGUCGAGCGAACAGACGAGGAGCUUGCUCCUUCGACGUUAGCGGCGGACGGGUGAGUAACACGUGGGUAACCUACCUAUAAGACUGGGAUAACUUCGGGAAACCGGAGCUAAUACCGGAUAAUAUUUCGAACCGCAUGGUUCGAUAGUGAAAGAUGGCUUUGCUAUCACUUAUAGAUGGACCUGCGCCGUAUUAGCUAGUUGGUAAGGUAACGGCUUACCAAGGCAACGAUACGUAGCCGACCUGAGAGGGUGAUCGGCCACACUGGAACUGAGACACGGUCCAGACUCCUACGGGAGGCAGCAGUAGGGAAUCUUCCGCAAUGGGCGAAAGCCUGACGGAGCAACGCCGCGUGAGUGAUGAAGGUCUUCGGAUCGUAAAACUCUGUUAUUAGGGAAGAACAAACGUGUAAGUAACUGUGCACGUCUUGACGGUACCUAAUCAGAAAGCCACGGCUAACUACGUGCCAGCAGCCGCGGUAAUACGUAGGUGGCAAGCGUUAUCCGGAAUUAUUGGGCGUAAAGCGCGCGUAGGCGGUUUUUUAAGUCUGAUGUGAAAGCCCACGGCUCAACCGUGGAGGGUCAUUGGAAACUGGAAAACUUGAGUGCAGAAGAGGAAAGCGGAAUUCCAUGUGUAGCGGUGAAAUGCGCAGAGAUAUGGAGGAACACCAGUGGCGAAGGCGACUUUCUGGUCUGUAACUGACGCUGAUGUGCGAAAGCGUGGGGAUCAAACAGGAUUAGAUACCCUGGUAGUCCACGCCGUAAACGAUGAGUGCUAAGUGUUAGGGGGUUUCCGCCCCUUAGUGCUGCAGCUAACGCAUUAAGCACUCCGCCUGGGGAGUACGACCGCAAGGUUGAAACUCAAAGGAAUUGACGGGGACCCGCACAAGCGGUGGAGCAUGUGGUUUAAUUCGAAGCAACGCGAAGAACCUUACCAAAUCUUGACAUCCUUUGACCCUUCUAGAGAUAGAAGUUUCCCCUUCGGGGGACAAAGUGACAGGUGGUGCAUGGUUGUCGUCAGCUCGUGUCGUGAGAUGUUGGGUUAAGUCCCGCAACGAGCGCAACCCUUAAGCUUAGUUGCCAUCAUUAAGUUGGGUACUCUAAGUUGACUGCCGGUGACAAACCGGAGGAAGGUGGGGAUGACGUCAAAUCAUCAUGCCCCUUAUGAUUUGGGCUACACACGUGCUACAAUGGACAAUACAAAGGGCAGCGAAACCGCGAGGUCAAGCAAAUCCCAUAAAGUUGUUCUCAGUUCGGAUUGUAGUCUGCAACUCGACUACAUGAAGCUGGAAUCGCUAGUAAUCGUAGAUCAGCAUGCUACGGUGAAUACGUUCCCGGGUCU